Macaca nemestrina (pig-tailed macaque) is the source of this 81-nucleotide microRNA precursor. NCBI's taxonomy places the organism in Eukaryota, Metazoa, Chordata, Mammalia, Primates, Cercopithecidae. The record is from Ensembl.
GCAUUGGGUGAGCAGGUUAGCCCAGCAUUUCCCUUCCUGGACAUACAGGAAGAAAAAUGCUGGACUAACCUGCUCACCCAA